GACAGAGGUGCCGAGCGUUAGGCGGAAUCACUGGGCUUAAAGCGUGUGUAGGCGGACCGUUAAGUACCUUGUGAAAUCCCACGGCUCAACCGUGGAACGGCUGGGUAUACUGGCGGUCUUUGGGGCCACCUAGGGGGUCAUCGGAACAGGCGGUGGAGCGGUGAAAUGCGUAGAUAUCGUUUGGAACGCCAAUGGUGAAAACAGACAGCUGGGAGUGUGCUGACGCUGAGACACGAAAGCCAGGGGAGCGAACGGG
This 256-nucleotide ribosomal RNA is filed under the name uncultured bacterium. RNAcentral's name for it is "partial 16S ribosomal RNA". It matches the Rfam family "Bacterial small subunit ribosomal RNA", at positions 524 to 776 of the family's 1533-position model. The record is from RNAcentral.